GCCAAAGAUGUGACUAUA
RNAcentral lists this small nuclear RNA (18 nucleotides) under Arabidopsis thaliana (thale cress). Its description in RNAcentral is "snRNA_10534". The record is from RNAcentral. Lineage: Eukaryota; Viridiplantae; Streptophyta; Magnoliopsida; Brassicales; Brassicaceae.